Molecule: small nucleolar RNA, 131 nt
Filed under: Echinops telfairi (small Madagascar hedgehog)
Lineage: Eukaryota; Metazoa; Chordata; Mammalia; Afrosoricida; Tenrecidae
Description: Small Cajal body specific RNA 24 (ENSETEG00000025904.1)
Rfam family: Small Cajal body specific RNA 24
About the family: scaRNAs are a specific class of small nuclear RNAs which localise to the Cajal bodies and guide the modification of RNA polymerase II transcribed spliceosomal RNAs U1, U2, U4, U5 and U12. ACA12 belongs to the H/ACA box class of guide RNAs as it has the predicted hairpin-hinge-hairpin-tail structure,the conserved H/ACA-box motifs and is found associated with GAR1.
Source: RNAcentral
UGGACACCUUAUUCUAAUUCAGUGUCUUUUCAAGGUGAAGAUAACUCUUUAUAAAUGUCCAAUAGAAAUAUAGUAGCUUUCUGUUCAUCCUUUGCAAGUAAAAAGGGUGGAUCAUUCCACUACUGACACUU